Molecule: ribosomal RNA, 2916 nt
Filed under: Triticum aestivum (bread wheat)
Lineage: Eukaryota; Viridiplantae; Streptophyta; Magnoliopsida; Poales; Poaceae
Description: partial small subunit ribosomal RNA
Source: RNAcentral
AUGCCUCGAGAGAUGAUUAAUGCAGACAGCAUCGAAAGAGCCGUGACAGAUAUAGUCCCUUAUCUAGAGGAUACAAGCAGUACUGCGCACAAGGCCAUCUAUUUUGAUGGAUGGGAAGGGCUGGGUGCUUCGGCGGUGCUUAGAGCCAUAGCCAAAGACCCUCCGCCGUCUCUGCUGAACAAAUUCGACAAGAUCGUCCACGUCGAUUGCUCGAGGUGGAAAAGCCGACGAGCACUCCAGAGGACAAUCGCACAAGAACUCAAGCUUCCUCGUCUCAUAAUGGAUGUCAUUGAUAGGCAAGAUGAAGAAGAUGAUUUCAGAGGGAUAGAUGAAGGCUUGAGAGCCGAGAUAGGAUUUGUGGGAAGAGAGAUCCUUCGGGUCCUGAUGGGGCAGAAAUGUUUAGUGGUCUUCCAUAAUGGGAGCGACAACACAAUUGAGUUGAAUGAUUUGGGCAUUCCCCAGCCGGAUCAGUGGUUUGUAUUCGGUACUCAAGUACUGUGGACCUUUCGAGGCAGGCUUCGGCUCAACCCAAGAACUACUGAGAAGGUGGAUGAUUCCCAUCUUUUUCUUUAUGAUACGUGGAGUUCAUACGGGUGGAAUUAUUUGCUGCAACAAGAGGCAAGAGAGAUUGCUCGGUACACUGAUAAUCUUGGCGAAACAGUUGAAGAGUGCUGCUUGUAUCUGUUGUCAUUAAAUUCUCAAGGAGGCAAUAUCAUGGACUAUGACUGGUCCACACAUGCUUCUAACUACUGGGUCUGUGAUGGGAUUAUACAAGGAGGCCAUGGUGACGAAGCAUGGGAGGCUGCAGCUGCUCUGCAUCAACACAUAAAUAUAGAGGAUUAUUCGUCUAAUACAGUACCAUAUUUUGGGGAUGAACUGGAGACUCCUUCAAAACGGUGGAUAUUGGCCAAGGACAGCUCUGUUGUGCAUCCAGAGUCAACGUCCUUUUUCCUUGCUGCAGUUGCAAAUCCUUCAUUGAGACACUUACCUUAUGACAUGUUUCAUCAAGCGGACAAACUUUGUGUGCUCAAGUUAUGCCGCUGCACCUUCAGCUUUUCUGCACCUCCUUUCUGUUGUUGCCGCAGCUUAAGGUUCCUUGGAUUAGAUAGCUGCCAGGAUCUACGACCAGAAGAAGAUGAGAAGCAAGAUAUGGAUUUUUUGAAGAGCCUAUGGGUGAUAGACAUACACAAUACAGACUGGAAUCUGCCUUCAUCACCAGAGAUAAUAAAGCAGAUGGCUACAAACAUUAGGGAAGUACAUAUAAAGAAUGGAAGGUUUUGGCACAUCAUUUUUGCAUUGGGACAACCACAAAAUCUUCACAAGCUUCGUGUUAUUGACCCUACAUGCUGCUCUUUGGAGACAGGCUUGCCCAGCUUGUCAAGUUCAACUAGCCUCAAGACUCUGGUUCUAGAUGGUUGUGUUGGUUUGGAGCAUGUUGAAGGACUCCCUCCAUCACUUGAAUCAUUCAGCUUAGAUGCAAGACCAAGAAAAGAUGAUUACAAGGAAGCCAAAAUAAGCCGCAUCUCCUUGGCUGGUUGUGCAAGAUUGUCUGAAUUCACACUGAGGGGAUCACUUCCAAACCUUGAGGAGUUGGACCUAUCUGGCACGAAAGUCAAGACACUUGACCUCACAACUCAGGUGGUGCAGGUCCCAUGCCUCCAACAAAUUAUUCUACUGGGAUGUAUGCAGCUGCAUGCUAUUCUAUGGCCAAAAGAGGGUCUGCCAACACUGACGGUGCUGCAUAUUGAUACCUCGGUUUGUCCUGUUCAAACAAAACUACAUAAAGUGUAUGUUACUAUAAUGGAUAUGAGGUUUUUUCAAUCCUUGGUAUUACAUGUACAGAGAAAUGUCCGAUUCUGUUGGAAGAGCAAUAGGUUCCAUCUAAAUCUUUGUGUCCCUUGUACCACCAAUGUUAAGGGACAAAGCUAUAUGAAGAAGAAGAUGGGCCCUGGUAAUAGUGGGAAAAUAAUGGGUCCUGCUCAACCAAAGUCAUUAAACCCCAAUACUUGCAGCACCUACACUGAUGUCUCGGUUGACAACAUAAUUAUUGAUCACGACUACAACAAUGCAAUGAAGUUUCAGCCGUCGGGCUGCCAUGUGGAGAUUGGUAAGGGAGUUAGCAACGCUAGCGUGGAGGGUGUGCAAGCAAUCAAGGCUAUCAUCUUUGCAAUGAACCAAUCCGAGUCGCUGCAUGUUCAUGACAGUUCUUCCAUCGCCACUGUCAUCACCGAACACAUGAAGUCUAGAGUUGGGAGGGAUCUUGACUGGGAACAUCUAAAACAUUGUCAUGUGGUGAGAUGCCCCAAGAUGCACACAGUCUUCAUGACUAACUAUGGUGUCUACCCCUUUACAGAAAUAGAGACCUUUUGGGCCGCUGAUCUACCGAUGGCACACUGCAUUUGGAGCAAAGGAACGACCUACUGGGGCACGGAAACUAGGUGCUUUGCGAAACUGCGGAGCAUACACCUCUACUCUUGCCCAAGGCUCGCAUUUGUGCUUCCGUUAUUGUGGGGUAUUCAAGGAUUAUAUUUACAGAACUUAGAAAGUCUCCACAUUGUGAAUUGUGGUGAUCUAAAGACGGUGUUCCCUGUUCAUCCCGGCUUGAAAGAACGUGUACUUGAGUUCCCAAGCCUGAAGCACAUCCAUCUGUAUGAGCUCCAUAAGUUGCAGCAUAUAUGUGAGGUGAAGAUGCAUGCUCCCAAGCUUGAGAGGGUAUGGCUCAGGGGCUGUUGGAGUCUCAGGCGCCUCCCAGCCAUUGGCGGAGCUAGCCGUCGCCCCGUCGUGGACUGCGAGCAGGACUGGUGGGAGAAGCUGGAGUGGGACGGGCUGGAGGCUGGGCACGACCCAUGCCUCUUCGAGCAACGCCACUCAUCGCAUUACAAGAGGCCCUUGCCUAGAGUUUCUGUGCUUCGGUGA